GACGAACGCUGGCGGCGUGCCUAACACAUGCAAGUCGAGCGGGGUCCAUCCGGUAGCAAUACCGGGGAAGACCUAGCGGCGAACGGUGAGUAACACGUGAGAAACCUGCCCCCGAAGUCUGGGAUAACCCGAGGAAACUCGAGCUAAUACCGGAUGUCUUCUUCUGAUCGCAUGGUCGGAUGAAGAAAGAUUUAUCGCUUCGGGAGGGUCUCGCGGCCUAUCAGCUAGUUGGCGGGUAACGGCCCACCAAGGCGUCGACGGGUAGCUGGUCUGAGAGGACGAUCAGCCACACUGGGACUGAGACACGGCCCAGACUCCUACGGGAGGCAGCAGUGGGGAAUAUUGCGCAAUGGGCGAAAGCCUGACGCAGCAACGCCGCGUG
This 382-nucleotide ribosomal RNA is filed under the name uncultured bacterium. RNAcentral describes it as "bacterial SSU rRNA". It matches the Rfam family "Bacterial small subunit ribosomal RNA", at positions 28 to 403 of the family's 1533-position model. The record is from RNAcentral.